Molecule: ribosomal RNA, 253 nt
Filed under: uncultured organism
Description: partial 16S ribosomal RNA
Rfam family: Bacterial small subunit ribosomal RNA
Source: RNAcentral
UACAGAGGGUGCGAGCGUUAAUCGGAAUUACUGGGCGUAAAGCGUGCGUAGACGGUCAUGCAAGUCGGAUGUGAAAGCCCCGGGCUCAACCUGGGAAUUGCAUUCGAGACUGUAUGGCUAGGGUGCGGAAGAGGGAAGCGGAAUUUCCGGUGUAGCGGUGAAAUGCGUAGAUAUCGGAAGGAACACCAGUGGCGAAAGCGGCUUCCUGGUCCGACACCGACGUUCAGGCACGAAAGCGUGGGGAGCAAACAGG